ACUGCUCAGUAACACGUCGAUAAUCUGCCCUUAGGUUCAGGAUAACCUCGGGAAACUGAGGCUAAAACUGAAUAUAAGAUUGGUGCUGGAAUGCUCUUUCUUUGAAACGUAAGGCCUAAGGAUGAGUCGGCGGCUGAUUAGGCUGUUGGUGAGGUAAAGGCUCACCAAACCUAGAAUCAGUGGGGGAGAUGAGAGUCUUGGCCCCGAGAAGGACACUGAGAUACUGGUCCUAGCCCUAAGGAGUGCAGCAGUCACGGAAACUUUACAAUGCGCGAAAGCGUGAUAGGGGGAUUCCAAGUGCUUUGCCAAUGGUAAGGCUUUUGCCAAGUGUAAGGAGCUUGGCGAAUAAGUGGUGGGUAAGACUGGUGCCAGCCGCCGCGGUAACACCAUGCGCCACAAGUGGUAGCCAUUUUUAUUGGGUCUAAAGCGUUCGUAGCCGGUUUAGUAAAUUUCGUGUGAAAUUGUCUGGCUUAACCAAACGGUGUGCACAAAACACUGCUAAACUUGAGACCGGGAGGAGUUAGAGGUAUUCUGGGGGGAGCGGUAAAAUGUUAUAAUCCCCAGAGGACCACCAGUGGCGAAGGCUUCUAACUAGAACGGUUCUGACGGUGAGGAACGAAGGCCAGGGGAGCAAAACGGAUUAGAUACCCGAGUAGUCCUGGCAGUAAACGCUGCGUGCUGAGUGGUGCAAAUUCUUCGUGGAUUUGCAACGCCUAAGCGAAGGUGUUAAGCACGCCACCUGGGAAGCAUAGUCGCAAGACCGAAACUUAAAGGAAUUGGCGGGGGAGCAC
RNAcentral lists this ribosomal RNA (791 nucleotides) under uncultured archaeon. RNAcentral describes it as "bacterial SSU rRNA". It matches the Rfam family "Archaeal small subunit ribosomal RNA", at positions 85 to 879 of the family's 1478-position model. The record is from RNAcentral.